GUGCCAGCCGCCGCGGUAAUACCGGCAGUCCGAGUGAUGGCCGAUCUUAUUGGGCCUAAAGCGUCCGUAGCUGGCCGCGCAAGUCCAUCGGAAAAUCCACCCGCCCAACGGGUGGGCGUCCGGUGGAAACUGUGUGGCUUGGGACCGGAAGGCGCGACGGGUACGUCCGGGGUAGGAGUGAAAUCCCGUAAUCCUGGACGGACCGCCGAUGGCGAAAGCACGUCGCGAAGACGGAUCCGACAGUGAGGGACGAAAGCUAGGGUCUCGAACCGGAUUAGAUACCCGGGUAGUCC
RNAcentral lists this ribosomal RNA (293 nucleotides) under uncultured bacterium. RNAcentral's name for it is "partial 16S ribosomal RNA". It matches the Rfam family "Archaeal small subunit ribosomal RNA", at positions 455 to 747 of the family's 1478-position model. The record is from RNAcentral.